CAGUAGGGAGAGCGCAUAAGUUUUGAGCUGCAUUGGGCAGCUUCCUUCAAUUAGAAACAUGAGUAGAGAAAAUACUCCGUUUUUCAGACUUGUGCUACAUGGGUUCAUCAGGAGGUUGUGGUGUGCAAUAAGAAGUAGGGCACCCAUGCAGGAAAACUGUGACUUGCCACCAUCCUGUAUUUGAGAGGAUCAUCAGAAAAGAUGAUGAAGCAGAACCAAGGAGGGGACCUGGACUCCAAACGGCAUUUCCCAUGUGCCUGAGCCUAGUGCAAGACACAUCGUGUGAAAGAGGAGCUCCCAACAGCGCUGGCGAGGAGCUCGUAACCCAGAACAAUAAAGCGCUUCCCCUCCCAGCCUCCUGGCGGUGACCUCCGCUGAAAGUUGAAGGUUCAACUAGCUACACGUGUCAGGGUUGUGACCUUUCACCCCCUCAGCGUCUCGCUCUCCUGCUCU
Molecule: long non-coding RNA, 453 nt
Organism: Perca fluviatilis (European perch)
Lineage: Eukaryota; Metazoa; Chordata; Actinopteri; Perciformes; Percidae
Exons: 4
Source: RefSeq, a predicted model, not a curated record